Long non-coding RNA from Sinocyclocheilus grahami, 262 nucleotides. RefSeq lists it as uncharacterized. The transcript has 4 exons. Lineage: Eukaryota; Metazoa; Chordata; Actinopteri; Cypriniformes; Cyprinidae. The record is from RefSeq and is a predicted model, not a curated record.
AGGACGUCUGGUGAUUUUGUACAUAUCCGUUGGAGUGGUUUGUGGAGCUGCAGUUAUCAUAACGAUAUUGCUGAUUUGGGGAUGCAGGUGGAUGAAAAAGAGAAAUAAAGCUCAGGUGAAUCAUUCCAGUCCUCAUCAUGACCGGCACAAAGCUUGCAAUGUUGAAUUGAAUGAACCUGUGUAUGCAAAUGAAAUGGUUGCUCAACGUGGCCCUGAUGUUUGUGAACCUGAACUGAACUUUUCUGUUUAUGAAAAUAUUCCA